RNAcentral lists this ribosomal RNA (497 nucleotides) under uncultured bacterium. RNAcentral describes it as "SSU rRNA". It matches the Rfam family "Bacterial small subunit ribosomal RNA", at positions 26 to 528 of the family's 1533-position model. The record is from RNAcentral.
AGGAUUAACGCUGGCGGCGUGCAUGAAACAUGCAAGUCGAGCGCGGUGUGAUGCGGGGUAACCCAAUUCACAUCUAGCGGCGAACGGGUGAGUAACACGUGAGCAACCUACCUUUGAGUUGGGGAUAGCCCUGGGAAACCAGGAUUAAUACCCGAUGUGGUCACAACAGGACAUCCUGAUGUGAGUAAAGGCGCAAGCCGCUCAAUGACGGGCUCGCGGCCUAUUAGCUUGUUGGUGGGGUAACGGCCUACCAAGGCGAUGAUGGGUAGCUGGUCUGAGAGGACGAUCAGCCACACUGGACUGAGACACGGCCCAGACUCCUACGGGAGGCAGCAGUUAGGAAUUUUCCGCAAUGGGCGAAAGCCUGACGGAGCAACGCCGCGUGAGUGAUGAAGACCUUAGGGUUGUAAAGCUCGUGUCGGAGGGGAAGAACACAAGUGACGGUACCUCCAAGAAACGCCCGGACUAACUACGUGCCAGCAGCCGCGGUAAUCUGA